Schizosaccharomyces pombe (fission yeast) is the source of this 1179-nucleotide non-coding RNA. NCBI's taxonomy places the organism in Eukaryota, Fungi, Ascomycota, Schizosaccharomycetes, Schizosaccharomycetales, Schizosaccharomycetaceae. The record is from the annotation of a GenBank genome assembly.
GUGUUUUGUUCUCAUAACGUAGUAAACAAAUAGUAGAGCAGUGUCGUAUGAAUCUUUUCCUGCUUCAUGUGGGCGUUUUCUGCUCAUCAUUGACUUAUAUGGACAUUCAAUCAGCGAAUUUAAAGAAACAUUUGACCUUUGAGAUGAGGAGUUAGAAGGUACUGGCGGUAGAGAUAUCUUUGAAACUAAGGAAAGUAAGUCCGUUGGUAUCCCAUCUGAUACAUGUUGAAGAUCAUCGGAUUUCAAGUAGAGAAGUUUAGUGUCAUAUAUAGAUUUGAAAGAUGAUAAACAAAGCUCAGAAAACUCUAAUAUCGUUUCCGGGACUUUUCCUUCAAAAAGGGAAAACAAAUACACCAAAUCUGCCAUGCCAUUGUGACAAACUACUGACUUUUUUUUCUUAAGUAUAUAGUCCCAUAAAUGUCGCAACCCAACAUUCUGUUUGAUCAAAUUUAGAUUGUUAAGUAUUAAUUGGUCGCUCGCAAUAUCUUCUUUGAGUUCGCUUUUUGAAGUGGCAGAGCAUUGAGUUGUCGAAUUUUCAAUAGCCUUCCGAACCUGCAGAAAUGUUCUUUUGGGGUAACUCUUUAAAGUUGGAAAUUCAAUUUUAACCAGGGAUUGUAUUGCUUUUCUUAUAAAACGAUUAGAGGUAGUAAUGUUCAAGUAUUUUGAAGUGGAAUGUGACAACUCGCUCGAUAACCAAUUCUUAAUUUGAUUUCUUGCGUCAACAAGAAUUUCUUCAUCGCAAGCAUCUAAAAUUGAGCUGGUCAAGUCGUCAGUUGAUCUUUCAUUAACCUUGUCGAUCAAAUUUCUUUCUUCAAUCCGUGAUAAGUAUGGUACACCCUCUGUCAGUUGUUUAUUAAAAUCAAAACCUUGUUGUAUCAGAAACUUAAUACUGCUAGCCUCCGAGCAGAAGUCUCUCUUAAGGUGCAAUUCAUCUUUAACUAGAGGACUUACGUUAAUAUUUACGGGAAUACACGAAGAUUUUCCAUUGUUUUGCAAAUAAAUAAAGGUUAUACCAAUUUGUAAAAUUGUGUAUCGUAUACUACUUUUUCUCAGUAACUCAUAUCUGUCUUGUAAAGUAUUUUUGUUGUUAAGGUUGAAGUCUCUUAAUAAUCCGGAAAAUUCACAAUCAAUGGAAACAUAGUGUGCUGAAUCUACGUGUUUCUCCAAUUCUUUUAAUGU